This is a long non-coding RNA of Mizuhopecten yessoensis (Yesso scallop), 1911 nucleotides long. RefSeq lists it as uncharacterized. The record is from RefSeq and is a predicted model, not a curated record. The transcript is spliced from 4 exons. Lineage: Eukaryota; Metazoa; Mollusca; Bivalvia; Pectinida; Pectinidae.
GUGUAAACAUAUAUUACUUUUCUUUAAAGAGAAACUUUGACAACACGAAAUACCACAAUUUAUGAAGAAAAAACCCUUAAUGCUGCCUUUUUAUUCUUUUUUAGCAAUCUCCAUCAAGCUUAUGAUGACUUCUCCGGUUGGGUCAGUGAGGAUAGUUGGUGAAACGUUGCUAAUAAUGAUCAUGAAGAGCACUUGGACCAGCCAGCAUGUUCAGUGAAUCGACUGGGCUACAGUACAGCUACAUUAGGCCUACAGACUAAGUACAUAGUAUGAAAAAGGCACUACCCCAGGGGCAUGGCACAAGUGUAUAUAGGUAUUAAGAUAUUUCCUGUCCGCAUCCAAUCAGCCUGAGGAUCUCUCCAACUGUGGUAAUGAAGACCUGGACCUGUUGUAUCAGCACAUAACACUACAGACAAGAUAACACUUGUAUGGAAAGAUGAAGGGAAACAAGUUCAAAAUACCUCUCCAUCUUUGAUAAGCGGAAAUUGUGCACUCCUGCAGAAAGAAACAUUAGGUGAACAUUACCCUAGGGCAUCCAUGAGUAACUUAUUGGGGCUUAUGUCUGUUUCAUUUGGGACUUGCACUUGCUGUUUUUACAACAGUUGUGAACAACCAUUUUCAAUCCAUAAUCAAACCUCAACAUCCUUACAAAAUAGACUGGGUCUUGAAAACAAGAUACAUGAAUGCUUGCUUAUGAGGGCGAGUCAUAUACCUCAAAAAUCUUAGUUUAACAGUGUGCUAAGACUUUGGAGAGGACACAAGCAAAGGAGGCUACAAACUUAUGGCUGUCAAAUAUUGUUUUGGGAAUGUUAACUUCAAAAUAAAGGACUGAACAAGAUGUGGCCUAUAUAAUGAUGUGACAAACAAAAGCAAAUACAUGACUCAUUAAAUUAAUUACUUUCAGAUGUGGAUCUCAUGACUUAUCAUAGAAUGUUUUGGAUUAAUUACUAUGUCACUGUGGUACAAUCGCAAAUAAUGGUUAUUGACACAUGUCUCUAAUGCACCUGACAAUCAGAAAUAAUGCUUAUUAAGCACUUCAGUCGUCACCGAGGACAUUCAGAAAGGCAUGUUUAAAGAGAUAUGUUCACACAGUUUGGUUCAUUAUAUUUUCUCAAAUCCUUGAUAUUGCACACAUAUUGAAGGAGGUCCCAAAUCAUUAAACCAUAUGUAACGUAGUAAACCAGCGGUGGAAUUUUGUCUGCUUCCAUUAUAAAUUUAAGACAUCAAACUGAUGUAAACUAAAACAGAUUUAGUUUAAAAUAGUCAAAUAGAAAAAAAAAUCAUUUCACCAUUAUGGUAAAGUAAAGCGCCACUGCUCCAUCUUUAACUUUUCUACCCUAUACUUAAUGUUUGUGAUUUUCAUAUUCAGGACAUCAAACUGAUGUAAACUUAAAAGAAACGAAUGGAAAAAGUUUGUCAGAAUAGAAAAUGAUGCGAGCCUUCAUUUCACCAUGGGGCGGUUCAUUUUACCAUAAUGGUAUUAUGAACCGCGGUUCAUUUCACCAUGCUUUACAAUACCAUGCUUCACCGGUGUAAACUUUAUUCAUUUUUACAACAAUUAUGACACAAGUUAUCCAAAUUAUAUUAAUCAUUCUUGUCCGCCAGGGGUGUUAUCGCGUGGGGUGGGGGUUGGAGUGUCUUGAUGUGGAAGGAAACUGGAGAACCCGGAAAAACCCCCAGGAAUCGAGGAAUCAAACCCCAGCCGCUUUGCUUGUUGAAAGGCAAUUGCGUUAUCCACUGUGCCACCUGACCACCCAAGGACUAUUGGUUAUUCAAAAGUUUAAACAUAUUUCAUCAAAAAGAAGGUAUAUGCAGGCCCCUACAUCCACCACAAAUAUCCGUCUCCUGACCUAAUACUGGAUGCAAUUGUAAUUCAAUAUCCAUUAUUGCAAUAAAGUCAUUAUACUUGUG